UGAGGAAUAUUGCGCAAUGGGGGCAACCCUGACGCAGCGACGCCGCGUGAGUGAGGAAGGCCUUCGGGUCGUAAAGCUCUGUCAAAGGGAAAGAAGUGCAUGAUGGCUAAUACCUGUCAUGUUUGACGGUACCCUUAAAGGAAGCACCGGCUAACUCCGUGCCAGCAGCCGCGGUAAUACGGAGGGUGCAAGCGUUGUUCGGAAUUACUGGGCGUAAAGGGCGCGUAGGCGGUUUGAUAAGUCAGAUGUGAAAGCCCACGGCUUAACUGUGGAAGUGCAUUUGAUACUGUCAGACUUGAGUACCAGAGGGGAAAGUGGAAUUCCCGGUGUAGAGGUGAAAUUCGUAGAUAUCGGGAGGAAUACCGGUGGCGAAGGCGACUUUCUGGCUGGAUACUGACGCUGAGGCGCGAAAGCGUGGGGAGCAAACA
This 428-nucleotide ribosomal RNA is filed under the name uncultured Desulfobulbus sp. RNAcentral's name for it is "bacterial SSU rRNA". It matches the Rfam family "Bacterial small subunit ribosomal RNA", at positions 355 to 774 of the family's 1533-position model. Lineage: Bacteria; Pseudomonadati; Thermodesulfobacteriota; Desulfobulbia; Desulfobulbales; Desulfobulbaceae. The record is from RNAcentral.